AUAGUAAUUUUUAUGCCCCACCUACGAUAGUAGAGGGGCAUUAUGUUUUCUGGUCUGUGGCUCCGUUCGUCUGUGCGUCCGUCCGUUCAGGUUUAAGUUUUUGGUCAAGGUAGUUUUUGAUGAAGCUGAAGUCCAAUCAACUUGAAACUUAGUACACUUGUUGCUUAUGAUAUGAUCUUUCUAAUUUUAAAGCCAAAUUAGACUUUUGACCCCAAUUUCACGGUCCACUGAACAUAGAAAAUGAAAGUGGGAGUUUCAGGUUAAAGUUUUUGGUCAAGGUAGUUUUUUGAUUAAGCUGAAGUCCAAUCAACUUGAAACUUGGUACACUUGUUGCUUAUGAUAUGAUCUUUUUAAUUUUAAAGCCAAAUUAGUCUUUUGACCCCAAUUUCACGGUCCACUGAAGAUAAUAAAUGAAAGUGGGAGUUUCAGGUUAAAGUUUUUGGUCAAGGUAGUUUUUGAUGAAGCUGAAGUCCAAUCAACUUGAAACUUAGUACACUUGUUGCUUAUGAUAUGAUCUUUUUAAUUUUAAAGCCAAAUUAGUCUUUUGACCCCAAUUUCACGGUCCACUGAACAUAAUAAAUGAAAGUGGGAGUUUCAGGUUAAAGUUUUUGGUCAAGGUAGUUUUUGAUGAAGUUGAAGUCCAAUCAACUUGAAACUUAGUACACAUGUUGCAUAUGAUAUGAUCUUUAUAAUUUUAAUGCCAAAUUAAAUUUUUUACCCAAUUUCACGGUCCAUUGAACAUGAAAAAUGAUAGUGCGAGUGGGGCAUCCGUGUACUUUAGACACAUUCUUGUUUAAAAUUUAUAUUUAAGAUUUAUUCUGCUGUAUUUCAUGAAAAAAAUUUCAACUGCAUAUGUGGCCCUCUUCAUACAAGUCAUUACAAUCAGAUAUGAAUUAUCUCUAUAAUUAAAGUUUUAC
RNAcentral lists this long non-coding RNA (917 nucleotides) under Mytilus galloprovincialis (Mediterranean mussel). The record is from RNAcentral. Lineage: Eukaryota; Metazoa; Mollusca; Bivalvia; Mytilida; Mytilidae.